GUGUCAGCAGCCGCGGUAAGACGAACUGUCCAAACGUUGUUCGGAAUCACUGGGCUUAAAGGGCGCGUAGGCGGUCGAUCAAGUCAGGGGUGAAAUCCUGCAGCUUAACUGUAGAAGUGCCUUUGAUACUGGUCGUCUCGAGGGAGGUAGGGGUGUGUGGAACUUCCAGUGGAGCGGUGAAAUGCGUUGAUAUUGGAAGGAACGCCGGAGGCGAAAGCGACGCACUGGACCUCUUCUGACGCUGAGGCGCGAAAGCUAGGGGAGCAAACGGGAUUAGAUACCCCCGUAGUCC
RNAcentral lists this ribosomal RNA (292 nucleotides) under uncultured bacterium. Its description in RNAcentral is "partial 16S ribosomal RNA". It matches the Rfam family "Bacterial small subunit ribosomal RNA", at positions 505 to 796 of the family's 1533-position model. The record is from RNAcentral.